RNAcentral lists this unclassified non-coding RNA (32 nucleotides) under Sorangium cellulosum So ce56. RNAcentral describes it as "sce_Cardiovirus_CRE_37". Lineage: Bacteria; Pseudomonadati; Myxococcota; Polyangiales; Polyangiaceae. The record is from RNAcentral.
UGCGGACUGAAGCUGCCAAUCGACCGCGAUCG